RNAcentral lists this ribosomal RNA (94 nucleotides) under uncultured bacterium. RNAcentral's name for it is "partial 16S ribosomal RNA". The record is from RNAcentral.
CCGCCCGUCACACCAUGGGAGUUGGCUGCACCAGAAGCCGGUAGUCUAACCGCAAGGGAGGCAGCGGCCCAAGGUAUGACUCAUGAUUGGGGUG